UGGAAGGAGAGCUUUAACUGGAGAAUCCUCUCUCCUGCAUAAACAAACAAAGCCUUUCAACACCAUUUGCGAGGCUUCUUAAGAGGAGCUGGGAAUCUGGCUGGCCUCUAUUGUUUACCAACCCCUUCCUGUGGACACAGGUGGCAGAUGCCAGCUCAGGUCGAGCAGGCCAGGCUUUUGCCAACAUCCCAGUGAGGGUGUCGGCCGAAGCAGAGAACAGCAAGUAGAGGAUUGUGCCUGCCUCACCCACUGACUUCAGAGCCGUCCGACUUUGGCGCUGUGAUGGAGGGCACCAAGAAGACCCGGGCUGUUGUGCUGAGGGACAAGCAGUCCAGGCCCCCUUCAAGUUCCGCAGCCGCUGGUCAUCCGACUCCGGGGCCAUGAUCGAGGGCGGGCGCCACGAAGACCCGGGCUGUUGGGCUGUUGUGCUGAAUGACAAGCAAUGCUAGACCUCUUCAAGUUCAGCAGCUGCCGGCCAUCCGACUCUGGCACCGUGACCAUGCAUGGGCGCCAAGAAGACCCGGGCUGUUUUGCUGAGGGACAAGCAGUCCUGGCUGUCUUCAGCUUUCACAGACACCGGCCGUCCGACUCUGGCACCGUGAUCGUGGGCAGGCGCCAAGAAGACCUGGGCUGUUGUGCUGAGGGACAAGCAGUCCUGGCCGUCUUCAAAUUCUGCAGCCGCCGGCCGUCCGACUGUGGCACCAAGGUUGUGGCCGGGCGCCAAGAAGACCUGGGCUGUUUUGCUGAGGGACAAGCAGUCAUGGCCCCCUUCAAGAUCCGCAGCUGCCGGCCGUCCGACUCCGGCACUGUAAUUGUGGGUGGGCGCUAAGAAGACCCGUGCUGUUGUGCUGAGGGACAAGCAGUCAUGGCCCCCUUCAAGUUCUGUAACCGCCGGCCGUUCGACUCUGGCGCCGUGAUUGUUGGCGGGUGCCAAGAUGACCCAGGAUGUUCUGCUGAAGGACAUUCCAUUGUGGCCCCGUUCAAGAUCCGCAGUCACAACAGUCUCUUUUGCAGCCUUUUCCCCUUUUGUGGACAGGUACAAGGCCCAGAACUGUCCUGGCAAGUCAGAGACUAUAACCAUCCUCAGCAACUCGCCCAUGGAUGUAGAGGUCCAAUUCUCCUUUGAGAAUGCAGAGCAAGCAGAGACAUUCCUUUUGCACCCUUGCCGCAUGACCCUGAAACCAAAGGAGAAGAAGGUUGGAGAAGGGCAGGUAGAGCGGGCACCGUUGAAGUGCCCAGGGGCUGCUCCUCCUGCUCACACUCAGAGCUCCUUUGAUUUCUUCAGUGGGGCCAUGUCCAGGAGCUGACCAUUUGGGCACACCCCACCUCCCCUGACUUCCUGGAAGACAAACUCAUCUGCAGCAUUGAGAAGAACCCGGAACCAGUGGUCUUCAGCCUGUGCUGCCAUGAGGUGGACAUGAAGCUGGACGUCAGCCCCCUGCAGCUCUCUUUUGACAAGCUGCUUCUUCACAGGCCAGUCAUCCCACAAGCACUCCAAGACUGGUGACAAAGAGAAAACAUUUGACUCUGGUUUCCGGGGCAUAGAUGGAGCUGCCCCAAGUUCCAUUCAGUGGUGAGGCUGGUGUACUCAUCCAGCAGCUGAUGCCAAGUGCCUUCCUGUCUCUGCAGGACUGAUAGCAAGACCUUGGUCGUGAAAACCAACACCCUACUGCCCAUGGCCUGGCAGCUCAGUGGGCUGGAUGACCUUGUUGAGCACUUCUCCUUGUCACAAGAUAAUGGCGUCCUUGAUCCCCGCUCAGAGUUUGAAGUGACACUGCAUUUCAAGGCUGAGCACAUUGGCAGCAUUGAGAAGAUUCUCUAAGUAGAGGUUUCAGAUACAGAAAACAUCCUGGGGCAUGUUCAGGCUAAAACCAUCGAAAUCUCUGCAGAGGUCUAUGUUUCUCUGAGCAUUGACAUGCCUGAAGGUUAGUGGAUGCCUCCCAAACAAAGCAGUCCAGGUGCACUGCAUUACCUUGGGAGGUGCAGAUGGAAGCUUGGAAUUUGGAACCAUUAAUGUCCUGGAUAAAGUGAAGAAAGUCCUGAGUCUACAGAACAAAGGAAUAUACAACACUGAGUACAGUUUCACGCAGAAGGGUGCAGGUCCUGUGAUGCAAGACUUGGCAUCCCACUUCACUGUUGAGCCUCAGUCAGGCAUGCUGAUUGCCUCCCAGCCUGAUGAGAAUGUUGAGAUGCUCUUCCACCCUGCAAGUGAAAUGGUCCUCAAGAACAAACCCAGCCUGUACUGCCAGGUGAGCCGCCUGGGCCAGGCUGCAUUAUCACAUGGUGUUUUGGGAGCAUAAACAAGAUAGAUGUCUAAUGGAAGGAGAGCUUUAACUGGAGAAUCCUCUCUCCUGCAUAAACAAACAAAGCCUUUCAACACCAUUUGCGAGGCUUCUUAAGAGGAGCUGGGAAUCUGGCUGGCCUCUAUUGUUUACCAACCCCUUCCUGUGGACACAGGUGGCAGAUGCCAGCUCAGGUCGAGCAGGCCAGGCUUUUGCCAACAUCCCAGUGAGGGUGUCGGCCGAAGCAGAGAACAGCAAGUAGAGGAUUGUGCCUGCCUCACCCACUGACUUCAGAGCCGUCCGACUUUGGCGCUGUGAUGGAGGGCACCAAGAAGACCCGGGCUGUUGUGCUGAGGGACAAGCAGUCCAGGCCCCCUUCAAGUUCCGCAGCCGCUGGUCAUCCGACUCCGGGGCCAUGAUCGAGGGCGGGCGCCACGAAGACCCGGGCUGUUGGGCUGUUGUGCUGAAUGACAAGCAAUGCUAGACCUCUUCAAGUUCAGCAGCUGCCGGCCAUCCGACUCUGGCACCGUGACCAUGCAUGGGCGCCAAGAAGACCCGGGCUGUUUUGCUGAGGGACAAGCAGUCCUGGCUGUCUUCAGCUUUCACAGACACCGGCCGUCCGACUCUGGCACCGUGAUCGUGGGCAGGCGCCAAGAAGACCUGGGCUGUUGUGCUGAGGGACAAGCAGUCCUGGCCGUCUUCAAAUUCUGCAGCCGCCGGCCGUCCGACUGUGGCACCAAGGUUGUGGCCGGGCGCCAAGAAGACCUGGGCUGUUUUGCUGAGGGACAAGCAGUCAUGGCCCCCUUCAAGAUCCGCAGCUGCCGGCCGUCCGACUCCGGCACUGUAAUUGUGGGUGGGCGCUAAGAAGACCCGUGCUGUUGUGCUGAGGGACAAGCAGUCAUGGCCCCCUUCAAGUUCUGUAACCGCCGGCCGUUCGACUCUGGCGCCGUGAUUGUUGGCGGGUGCCAAGAUGACCCAGGAUGUUCUGCUGAAGGACAUUCCAUUGUGGCCCCGUUCAAGAUCCGCAGUCACAACAGUCUCUUUUGCAGCCUUUUCCCCUUUUGUGGACAGGUACAAGGCCCAGAACUGUCCUGGCAAGUCAGAGACUAUAACCAUCCUCAGCAACUCGCCCAUGGAUGUAGAGGUCCAAUUCUCCUUUGAGAAUGCAGAGCAAGCAGAGACAUUCCUUUUGCACCCUUGCCGCAUGACCCUGAAACCAAAGGAGAAGAAGGUUGGAGAAGGGCAGGUAGAGCGGGCACCGUUGAAGUGCCCAGGGGCUGCUCCUCCUGCUCACACUCAGAGCUCCUUUGAUUUCUUCAGUGGGGCCAUGUCCAGGAGCUGACCAUUUGGGCACACCCCACCUCCCCUGACUUCCUGGAAGACAAACUCAUCUGCAGCAUUGAGAAGAACCCGGAACCAGUGGUCUUCAGCCUGUGCUGCCAUGAGGUGGACAUGAAGCUGGACGUCAGCCCCCUGCAGCUCUCUUUUGACAAGCUGCUUCUUCACAGGCCAGUCAUCCCACAAGCACUCCAAGACUGGUGACAAAGAGAAAACAUUUGACUCUGGUUUCCGGGGCAUAGAUGGAGCUGCCCCAAGUUCCAUUCAGUGGUGAGGCUGGUGUACUCAUCCAGCAGCUGAUGCCAAGUGCCUUCCUGUCUCUGCAGGACUGAUAGCAAGACCUUGGUCGUGAAAACCAACACCCUACUGCCCAUGGCCUGGCAGCUCAGUGGGCUGGAUGACCUUGUUGAGCACUUCUCCUUGUCACAAGAUAAUGGCGUCCUUGAUCCCCGCUCAGAGUUUGAAGUGACACUGCAUUUCAAGGCUGAGCACAUUGGCAGCAUUGAGAAGAUUCUCUAAGUAGAGGUUUCAGAUACAGAAAACAUCCUGGGGCAUGUUCAGGCUAAAACCAUCGAAAUCUCUGCAGAGGUCUAUGUUUCUCUGAGCAUUGACAUGCCUGAAGGUUAGUGGAUGCCUCCCAAACAAAGCAGUCCAGGUGCACUGCAUUACCUUGGGAGGUGCAGAUGGAAGCUUGGAAUUUGGAACCAUUAAUGUCCUGGAUAAAGUGAAGAAAGUCCUGAGUCUACAGAACAAAGGAAUAUACAACACUGAGUACAGAGAAUUCAGCCACAAACCAGCAGUUCUUCACAGCUCAGCUGGAGCCCAAAGGAGAGCCCCAGAAAUUUCAGCCACUGAAAUGCUGAGACUCAUUGCCUUUUUUUGGUGGUCACCUCUUUUCUCUUUCUGAGACUCUGUAAAGGAGUGAAUGAAAAAUUCCAGUCUCAAGGUUUCUUUGCAGUAAUCUUGUGAAUGUCUGCACUCUCUGUCAAGAUCCAGGAUUGCCUAAGCAGAACUGGACUCCCCCUUUUUUUCCUGGUCCUAUGCAAAGUCCUGGCUGUGUUGGUGGCACCUGUACUUUUAACUGCAGAGAUCUGCAUUCCUUCCCUUUCUCCCCAGUUUCACGCAGAAGGGUGCAGGUCCUGUGAUGCAAGACUUGGCAUCCCACUUCACUGUUGAGCCUCAGUCAGGCAUGCUGAUUGCCUCCCAGCCUGAUGAGAAUGUUGAGAUGCUCUUCCACCCUGCAAGUGAAAUGGUCCUCAAGAACAAACCCAGCCUGUACUGCCAGGUGAGCCGCCUGGGCCAGGCUGCAUUAUCACAUGGUGUUUUGGGAGCAUAAACAAGAUAGAUGUCUAAUGGAAGGAGAGCUUUAACUGGAGAAUCCUCUCUCCUGCAUAAACAAACAAAGCCUUUCAACACCAUUUGCGAGGCUUCUUAAGAGGAGCUGGGAAUCUGGCUGGCCUCUAUUGUUUACCAACCCCUUCCUGUGGACACAGGUGGCAGAUGCCAGCUCAGGUCGAGCAGGCCAGGCUUUUGCCAACAUCCCAGUGAGGGUGUCGGCCGAAGCAGAGAACAGCAAGUAGAGGAUUGUGCCUGCCUCACCCACUGACUUCAGAGCCGUCCGACUUUGGCGCUGUGAUGGAGGGCACCAAGAAGACCCGGGCUGUUGUGCUGAGGGACAAGCAGUCCAGGCCCCCUUCAAGUUCCGCAGCCGCUGGUCAUCCGACUCCGGGGCCAUGAUCGAGGGCGGGCGCCACGAAGACCCGGGCUGUUGGGCUGUUGUGCUGAAUGACAAGCAAUGCUAGACCUCUUCAAGUUCAGCAGCUGCCGGCCAUCCGACUCUGGCACCGUGACCAUGCAUGGGCGCCAAGAAGACCCGGGCUGUUUUGCUGAGGGACAAGCAGUCCUGGCUGUCUUCAGCUUUCACAGACACCGGCCGUCCGACUCUGGCACCGUGAUCGUGGGCAGGCGCCAAGAAGACCUGGGCUGUUGUGCUGAGGGACAAGCAGUCGUGGCCCCCUUAAAGUUCCGCAGCCACUGGCCGUCCGACUCCGGCACCGUGAUCACAAGUGGGUGCCAAGAAGACCUGGUCUGUUGUGCUAUUGUGCUGAACGACAUGCAGUCAUGGCCCUUUCAAGUUCCGCAGUCGCAGCUGUCUCCUCUGCAGCAUAUUCCCCUUUUGUGGACAGGUACAAGGCCAAGAACUGUCCCACCGACUCAGAGACUAUAACCAUUCUCAACAACUCUCCCAUGUGGAUGUAGAGGUCCAAUUCUCCUUUGAGAAUGCAGGGCAAGCAGAGACAUUCCUUUUGCACCCUCGCCACAUGACCCUGAAACCAAAGGAGAAGAAGGUUGGAGAAGGGCAGGUAGAGUGGGCACCGUUGAAGUGCCCAGGGGCUGCUCCUCCUGCUCAUACACAGUGCUCCUUUGAUUUCUUCAGUGGGGCCAUGUCCAGGAGCUGACCGUUUGGGCAUACCCCACCUCCCCUGACUUCCUGGAAGACAAACUCAUCUGCAGCAUUGAGAAGAACCUGGAACCAGUGGUCUUCAGCCUGUGCUGCCAUGAGGUAGACAUGGCAAUCUGUAUGGACUCUUUAUUGUUUACCAACCCCUUCCUGUGGACACAGGUGGCAGAUGCCGGCUCUGGUCGAGCAGGCCAGCCUUUUGCCAGCAUCCCAGUGAGGGUGUCAGCCAAAGCAGAGUACAGUGAGUAGAGGAUUGUGCCUGCCUCACCCACCGACUUUGGAGACGUCCGACUUUGGCGCUGUGAUGGUGGGUGCCAAGAACGCGCGAGAUAUUGUACUGAAGGACGAGCAGUCCAGGCCCCUUCAAGUUCUACAGCCGCCGGCCGUCCGACUUUGGUGCCGUGAUCGUGGGCGGGUGCCAAGAUGACCCAGAAUGUUCUGCUGAAGGACAUGCAGUCAUGGCCCUGUCCAUAUCCGCAGUCACAACAGUCUCUUUUGCAGCCUUUUCCCCUUUUGUGGACAGGUACAAGGCCCAGAACUGUCCCGGCAACUCAGAGACUAUACCUAUCCUCAGCAACUCGCCCACGGAUGUAGAGGUCCAAUUCUCCUUUGAGAAUGCAGGGCAAGCAGAGACAUUCCUUUUGCACCCUUGCCGCAUGACCCUGAAACCAAAGGAGAAGAAGGUUGGAGAAGGGCAGGUAGAGCGGGCACCGUUGAAGUGCCCAGGGGCUGCUUCUCCUGCUCACACUCAGAGCUCCUUUGAUUUCUUCAGUGGGGCCAUGUCCAGGAGCUGACCGUUUGUGCAUACCCCACCUCCCCUGACUUCCUGGAAGACAAACUCAUCUGCAGCAUUGAGAAGAACCUGGAACCAGUGGUCUUCAGCCUGUGCUGCCAUGAGGUAGACAUGGCAAUCUGUAUGGACUCUUUAUUGUUUACCAACCCCUUCCUGUGGACACAGGUGGCAGAUGCCAGCACAGCUCAAGGAGGCCAGCCUUUUGCCGACAUCCCAGUGAGGGUGUCAGCCGAAGCAAAGUACAGCAAGUAGAGGAUUGUGCCUGCCUCACCCACCUACUUCGAAGCCGACUGACUUUGGCGCUGUGAUGGUGGGCGCCAUGAAACCCCAGGCUGUUGUUCUGAAGGACAAGCAGUCCAGGCCCCCUUCAAUUUCUAGAGCCGCUGGCUGUCCGACUGUGGCGCCGUGAUCGUGGGUGGGCGCUAAGAAGACCCAGGCUGUUGUGCUAUUGUGGUGAAAAAUAAGCUGUCCAGGCCCCCUUCAAGUUCUGCAGUUGCUGGCCGUCCGGCUCUGGCAUGCUGAUCAUAGGCAGGCGCCAAGAAAACCCAGGCAGUUGUGCUGUUGUGCUGAACAACAAGCAGCCCUGGCCCCCUUCAAGUUCCGGAGCCACCGGCCGUCUGACUGUUGCGCCGUGAUUGUGGGCGGGUGCUAAGAAAACCAGGGCUGUUGUGCUGUGGGACAAACAGUCGUGGCACCCUAAGAGUUCCGCAGCCGCGGCCUGUCCGACCGUGGUGCCGUGACUGUGGGCUGGUAACACCAAGACCCGGCCUGUUGUGCUGAGGGACAAGCAGUCCUGGCCCUCUUAAAAUUCUGCAGUCUCCGGCCUUCCGACUUGGUCGCCGUGAUUGCGAGUGGGUGCCUAGAAGACCUCAGCUGUUAUGCUGAACGACAAGUAGUCCUGGCCCUCUUAAAAUUCCACAACCGCUGGCCGUCUGACUCCGGCAGCAGGAUCGUGGGCGGGCGCCAAGAAGACCUGGACUGUUUUGCUGAGGGACAAGCAGUCAUGGCCCCCUUCAAGAUCCGCAGCUGCCGGCCGUCCGACUCCAGCACUGUAAUUGUGGGUGGGCGCUAAGAAGACCCGUGCUGUUGUGCUGAGGGACAAGCAGUCAUGGCCCCCUUCAAGUUCUGUAACCGCCGGCCGUUCGACUCUGGCGCCGUGAUUGUUGGCGGGUGCCAAGAUGACCCAGGAUGUUCUGCUGAAGGACAUUCCAUCGUGGCCCCGUUCAAGAUCCACAGUCACAACAGUCUCUUUUGCAGCCUUUUCCCCUUUUGUGGACAGGUACAAGGCCCAGAACUGUCCUGGCAAGUCAGAGACUAUAACCAUCCUCAGCAACUCGCCCAUGGAUGUAGAGGUCCAAUUCUCCUUUGAGAAUGCAGAGCAAGCAGAGACAUUCCUUUUGCACCCUUGCCGCAUGACCCUGAAACCAAAGGAGAAGAAGGUUGGAGAAGGGCAGGUAGAGCGGGCACCGUUGAAGUGCCCAGGGGCUGCUCCUCCUGCUCACACUCAGAGCUCCUUUGAUUUCUUCAGUGGGGCCAUGUCCAGGAGCUGACCAUUUGGGCACACCCCACCUCCCCUGACUUCCUGGAAGACAAACUCAUCUGCAGCAUUGAGAAGAACCUGGAACCAGUGGUCUUCAGCCUGUGCUGCCAUGAGGUAGACAUGGCAAUCUGUCUGGCCUCUUUAUUGUUUACCAACCCCUUCCUGUGGACACAGGUGGUAGAUGCCAUCUCAGGUUGAGGAGGCCAGGAUUUUGCCGACAUCCCAGUGAGGGUGUCAGCCGAAGCAAAGUACAGCAAGUAGAGGAUUGUGCCUGCCUCAUCCACCUACUUCGAAGCCGACUGACUUUGGCGCUGUGAUGGUGGGCGCCAUGAAACCCCAGGCUGUUGUUCUGAAGGACAAGCAGUCCAGGCCCCCUUCAAUUUCUAGAGCCGCUGGCUGUCCGACUGUGGCGCCGUGAUCGUGGGCGGGCGCUAAGAAGACCCAGGCUGUUGUGCUAUUGUGGCGAAAAAUAAGCUGUCCAGGCCCCCUUCAAGUUCUGCAGUUGCUGGCCGUCCGGCUCUGGCAUGCUGAUCAUAGGCAGGCGCCAAGAAAACCCAGGCAGUUGUGCUGUUGUGCUGAACAACAAGCAGCCCUGGCCCCCUUCAAGUUCCGGAGCCACCGGCCGUCUGACUGUUGCGCCGUGAUUGUGGGCGGGUGCUAAGAAAACCAGGGCUGUUGUGCUGUGGGACAAACAGUCGUGGCACCCUAAGAGUUCCGCAGCCGCGGCCUGUCCGACCGUGGUGCCGUGACUGUGGGCUGGUAACACCAAGACCCAGCCUGUUGUGCUGAGGGACAAGCAGUCCUGGCCCUCUUAAAAUUCUGCAGUCUCCGGCCUUCCGACUUGGUCGCCGUGAUUGCGAGUGGGUGCCUAGAAGACCUCAGCUGUUAUGCUGAAUGACAAGUAGUCCUGGCCCUCUUAAAAUUCCACAACCGCUGGCCGUCUGACUCCGGCAGCAGGAUCGUGGGCGGGCGCCAAGAAGACCUGGGCUGUUUUGCUGAGGGACAAGCAGUCAUGGCCCCCUUCAAGAUCCGCAGCUGCCGGCCGUCCGACUCCAGCACUGUAAUUGUGGGUGGGCGCUAAGAAGACCCGUGCUGUUGUGCUGAGGGACAAGCAGUCGUAGCCCCCUUCAAGUUCUGCAACCACCGGCCAUCCGACUCUGGCGCUGUGAUCGUGGACGGGUGCCAAGAUGACCCAGGAUGUUCUGCUGAAGGACAUUCCAUCGUGGCCCCGUUCAAGAUCCACAGUCGCAACAGUCUCUUUUGCAGCCUUUUCCCCUUUUGUGGACAGGUACAAGGCCCAGAACUCUCCCGGCAACUCAGAGACUAUAACCAUCCUCAACAACUCUCCCAUGGAUGUAGAGGUCCAAUUCUCCUUUGAGAAUGCAGAGCAAGCAGAGACAUUCCUUUUGCUCCCUGGCCGCAUGACCCUGAAACCAAAGGAGAAGAAGGUUGGAGAAGGGCAGGUAGAGUGGGCACGGUUGAAGUGCCCAGGGGCUGCUUCUCCUGCUCACACUCAGAGCUCCUUUGAUUUCUUCAGUGGGGCCAUGUCCAGGAGCUGACCGUUUGUGCAUACCCCACCUCCCCUGACUUCCUGGAAGACAAACUCAUCUGCAGCAUUGAGAAGAACCUGGAACCAGUGGUCUUCAGCCUGUGCUGCCAUGAGGUAGACAUGGCAAUCUGUCUGGCCUCUUUAUUGUUUACCAACCCCUUCCUGUGGACACAGGUGGUAGAUGCCAUCUCAGGUUGAGGAGGCCAGGAUUUUGCCAACAUCCCAGUGAGGGUGUCAGCCAAAUCAGAGAACAGCAAGUAGAGGAUUGUGUCUGUGCAUAACUCUAAACCUAGACAAGUAAACCAGCCUAGGGUUAGGGAUGGUCCCAAGAAAGAAGGGUUGGAGGCAAAGAACUUCUGGCACUUCAGCGCUCCCCUUGGAAUGCCUAUUGCAGCUGCAGUGUGCCUGGAGUUUAGGGCUUCCUGGUGUAAAAAAACCUAAACCACAGCCCAAACUGGAGGCAGGUAAAGCAACAUAGGAUUCUGGAUCCUCUCAAGGAAAAAGCGGUGGAGGCAGCCAUGUUGAGACACUUUUGCACUCCCCUUGUGAUGCCUUUUGAAGCUGCAGUGUUCCUGGAGUUUAGGGCUUCCUGGUUUAAAAAAACCCGAACCCUAGUGUCGCAGUCGAGGCGGUCACGACAUUAAAGCAGUGACCACAAGCAGUCUCCGUCUCAGUCUCAGUUAUCAACCGUUAGCAACCGUUGGCAACAGUUGGCAACACUUUAUUAGUGAAAAUGGCUCAUCUUUUAUACACUUUCGAGUUGCUUCCCAUUCAGCUGCAGAAUACUGUUAUCGUUCUUCUCUCGAUCUCCUUGGUUUUCAGCUUCUUCUUCUUACUUCUCUCUCCUUUAGCUAACAGGCCCACUGCUAGCCCCUUCCACAAUUCCCCCUUUUUUGUUUUUUGACCUGUAAAUACAGCUGCUAUAGAUUUUUGCAGGGCCCUUUGCAAAAACCCAAGCAGAGAGGGGACACACAAAAUCACAAUCACAACCAUCAACAAAAUUCCCAUUCUUAAUGCAAUUGUUCCUGUCCUUCAUCCAUCUUUACGUAUUGAUAUAUGGUCUUAUAUAUAGCCAGUGUCAUCCGCAUGUUCUGCUUCAGUUGCAGAACCAUCGAUCCUGUCCUUUCCCGCACGCUCUAGGUAAGGUUUGACACAGCGAGCAGGAACCCAUCGAGGACCAUUAUCUGUCAAAACACAAGCAUAACCCCUCCCCCAGGUUAUCAGUUCCACAUGACCAGACCAUAUACCAGUAAUCAAAUCCUUGACCCAUACCUUGACAUUUCUAUGGAAAUUUGGUUGCUUAUAAUUCAAAGAAGAAAAAUGGCAAAAGAUUGGAGAUAACUGUGAGUCAGGUAGGGGACGCAAGAAGUUUAACACAUAAACAACUUUAUCUAAUCUCACUUGAGGUGACUCCUGUUGCAUUCCCCCUUUUUGUUUUGAACCUGACAUUUAAGAAGUCCAUGAGCUCUUUCAAUAAUUGCUUGGCCCUUGGGGACAUGUGGAAUACCUGUUGAGUGCUCAAUGCCCCAGGCAUGAAAGAAUGCUUGCAUUUUUUGUGAAGCAUAUGCUGGGCCGUUAUCUGUUUUUACGUGAUACGGAACACCUAAAAUAGAAAAGGCAUGAUAAAAAUGAUGAAUAGCAUCUCAAGUUUUUUCUUCUGUGAAUGCUGAAGCAACCAUUGCAUGAGAAAAAGUAUCAACUGUAACAUGAACAUACUUAAAGCGACCAGAUUCUGGCAUUUUUGUAACAUCAGUUUGCCAUUCUUCUAACACAGAAAGACCUCUAGUGUUAGUACCAUAAUACUGAGUGACAUGAGUAGGCCACGAUUGAGGCCAGCAAAGUCGCAAGAGUAUUGUGACAUCUGCUCCAGUGUCAAUCAAACCUGUUACUGAUAUAGUUCCUGGAUGACAUCCACUGGCGGUGAGAGUGCAUGUCUUUUCUGGACGGCUCUCUGUUACUUUCUCAGUCCAGAACACUUGAGGUACUCCUGUCAAGCCAGAGCUUCCUGUGCCGUGACUUCAGUCCACUGUAUUUGGAACAGAACUCACAAAAGGUAUAAAUUGAGCAAUGCAAGUUCCUUUCUGAAUAGUGACAGGAGGAUCAUCAGUGGAUACCAUGGCAUGAAUCUGCCCUAAAUAAUCAGCAUCAAUAAGCCCUAGAUGCACAUGAAUACCUCUAAGUAUAGUACUUGAUCUCCCUAUCAAAAAUGCACUCAAUCUCCGUCCUAUCGGACCAUAGGCAUCAAGGGGUACCUUACAUAUUUCUUUUGUUAAAACGGUUACUGUGUCAGCUGUGGGUAUAUCAAUCCCUGCGGACCCGCUUGUUGCCCCUGAGUAUUGUUCACAAAUGGGUAGCUUUGCAGGGCUGGGAAGGCCCGCAUUUGCUGUUGUGGUUGUUGGGGUAUUUGUUUCCCCACACGCCCCCUCGCGCUCCUCUUUGGGUUUCCCGGCAAUAGCUGACCAUUUGCAUGAUAUUUACUCCUGCAUUGCUUAGCGUAGUGCCCAGAUUUAACACAAUGAUUGCAUACGACAUCGCUGCUUGCACUUGGCCUAAAUGUUGUUUUCUGGACAGUACACUGUGACUUUACGUGCCCUUGUUGUCCACAAUUAUAACACUUCGAUGGAGGUCUUAGCACUGCAGCAAGAGCUGCCAUUUUAUGCUCAACUGAACCAACUUUCGAGCAAGCAGUAACCAUUUCAGACAAGGUGGGUUCCCCAGGUAAAGUGUCAAUAAUCUUUCAAUCUGGGUUUGCAUUUUCUUUAGCCAAUUGUACGCACAAUUUGUCUUGCAAAGUUUCAUCAUCUACCUGUUUCUCAAUAGCGGCAGCAAGUUUUUCUGCAAACUGCAAAAAUAGUUCUCUCGUCCCUUGUUGUAUAGUGAUAUAUUUCUGUUUUGGAGCUGCCAUUUCCAUUGUUUUAGUUAAAGCAUUCAUGCCAAUUUGCUGAGCUUGUGCCAAAAUCGAAGGAUCCCACCUUGCCUGUAAAUCUGGAUUAGCAAAAGGCCCAGUGCCCAGUAGGACAUCAACACCCACAGCAUGACGAGGGUCGUGUUGAGGUAACUGCAUAUUUGUUAAAGCGGUGCGCUCAGCCACUCACCUCCAAGUUUCUUGAAAUACACCAUAUUGUACUGGCUGGAAUAGAAUUGUAGCAAGAUGAGUGAUGUCAUAAGGUGCAAGCAAAUCUGCAUUAAUUACAUGUAUUAAUUGCAUUACCUCUGAGGAAUUAAUACCAUACUGAGCUACUUUCAGUUGGAGGUCUUGCACAACCCUCCAGGCAAAGACGUGAUGACUGUCGUUCUGUCCUGUUCCAGGAACUGCUUUGAAAACUGGAAAAGCCAUAGGGUUAUCACAAGCAACAUUUGCAUUGGCACUGUUCUCCUGAGGUACUCUUGGAGCACCUAACCUUUCUGUGAUGUCCCAAUUCUUUUCUUCAACUGCUUUCCUCCUAACAAAUUCCCAAAACUCGAGGGUGUCGAGGAAGCACAGUUACUUGACAUGGAGGCAAAGUCCAUGGGGCAGUAAGGCUAGGGCUCUUAGGAGAUGAAGGGGCCAGAGCUCCUUGCCCCAACUCAGGUGUUACUGCGGGUGACUCAUCACUUGAUUCGCUGUUGCUGUCACUGUCAGGUAAAGGAGGAUACAGCCUUGCAGGUUGUUCAAGCCACUCAGAGGGGAGCCGGGGGCUGGACGGCUGGACCAGAGAGGAGGGAAGCGGUGCGGCAGAUGGCUGGGUUUCUCUCUCUGCUAAAGACAUUUCAGCUAACUGGCGUAGCAGUGUAGGUGUAGUAUAUACAGGCACCAUCGCGAGCUGCUGCGCAGGUGUGAGAUAAGGAGGCUUAGGGGUCUGAUAAGAGGCAAGGGCAGGUUGCCCAGAAGUUUUGGCAGCUUUCCCAGAAGCCUUGGCAGCUUUCCCAGUAGCUUUGGCAGCUUUCCCAGAAGAGCCCCCUUCUACCUCAGAGGCUCUCCCGUCAGGUUCUGUUAUCAGCCCCGACUCUUCAUCCGCAUCUUGCUCCGUUUCUCUCUCUAUUUUCCAUUCCUUUAAAGCCUCAAAGAGCGAGUUCCAAGUAACUGCUAGAUCAACAACUGUUUUAUUUCCCGCUUGAAUGACUUGCCAAAGUCUGUCGCCGACCUUUUUCCAUGCCUUAACACUAAAUGCUGUGUCGGGAUCAGUGCCAAAAUUCUGUGAUUUAGCCCACAGCAAUAUAUUACGAAGUGCGUAGUCUGACAUAUUAAUUCCUUAUUUCUUAACAAAACUUUCCAUGUAGACAGAACAUUUUCAUCCUCUUUAGAUAAAUUUUGUCCCAUUAUUACUAGUUGGUGGCUCACCUACUUCCAGGUGUGUUGAUUGGAGGGAAUCAGGUCCGGACCUCCCAGUGGCUUCCACCUGCCACUCUCAGCUGCACCAACGCCGCCUCCCCCACUACGUCCCAGUGGGUCACGGUUGCCAAUUGCUAGGACCCCGUAUGGGCCCCCACCGACUAUGUUCUUAUCACGUCGGCGGUCACCAAAAUGUCGCAGUCGAGGCGGUCACGACAUUAAAGCAGAGACCACAAGCAGUCUCCACGUCAGUCUCAGUUGUCAACCGUUAGCAACCGUUAGCAACCGUUGGCAACAGUUGGCAACACUUUAUUAGUGAAAAUGGCUGAUCUUUUAUACACUUUCCAGUUGUUUCCCAUUCAGCUGCAGAAUGCUGUUAUCAUUCUUCUCUCAAUCUCCUUGGUUUUCAGCUUCUUCUUCUUACUUCUCGCUCCUUUAGCUAUCGGGCCCGCUGCUAGCCCCUUCCACACCCUAGCUGUAACUGGUGGCAUAUAAAUCAGAUUAGGGUUAAGGAUGGUCCCAAUGAAAAAGCAGUGGAGGUAGCCAUGUUGUGGCAAUUUUACACUCCCACUAGCCUUUGGCAGCUGCAGCAUUCCUAGAGCUCAGGGCUUCCUGGUUUAAAAAGCCAUAACCCUAGCCCUAACUGGAGGCAUGUAAACCAACAUAGGGUUCUGGAUCCUCUCAAGGAAAAAGCGGUGGAGGCAGCCACAUUGAGACACUUUUGCGCUCCCCUUGUGAUGCCUUUUGCAGCUGCAGUGUGCCUGGAUUUAGGGCUUCCUCAUUUAAAAAAACCUGAACCGCAGCCCUAAGUGGAGGCAUAUAAAUCAGCCUAUGGUUAGGGAUGGUUCCUAGUAAAAAGCGGUGGAGGCAGCCAUGUUGUGGCACUUUUGCACUCCCCUUGGGAUGCCUUUUGCAGCUGCAGUGUGCCUGGAUCUCAGGGCUUCCUGGCUUAAAAAACUCUAAGCCUAGGCGUAACCCUAACCCCAACCCUAGGGAGGUAAAUCAGCCCAGUUUAACAUAUGGUCCCAAGGAAAAAGCUGUGAAAGCAGCCAGGUUGUGGCACUAUUGCACUUCUCUUGGGAUGCCUUUCACAGCUGAUGUGUGCCUGGAUCUCAGAUCUUCCUGUUUUAAAAAUCCCUAGCCCUAGGCGAAACCCUGCCCCUGAACUGAGGCAGGUAAAUCAGCCUAGUGUUGGGGAUGGUCCGAAGGAAAAAGCUGUGGAGGCAGCCAUGUUUUGGCACUUUUGCGCUGCCCUUGGGAUGCCUUUGGCAGCUGCAGUGUGCCUCAAGCUCAGGGCUUCCUGAUUUAAAAAACCCUAAUCCUAGGUGUAACCAUAACCCUAGGCAGGUAAAUCAGCCUAUGGUUAGGGAUGGUCCCUUGGAAAAAGCUGUGAAAGCAGACAUGUUGAGGCACUUCUGCGCUCCCCUCGGGAUACCUUUCACAACUGAAACGUUCCUGGAGCUCAGGGCCUUCUCGUUUAAAAAAUGCUAACCCUAGGCCUAACUGGAGGCAUGUAAAUCAGCCUUAGGGAUUGUUGUGGAGAGUUUUGUCAAAGAGUGGCUUGAGGAGAGGGGACACAGCCAAAUCAAUUUGGUAAAGAUGUCCUAACUAGGGCAGAGGCCCUUUUGCAGGCAGGGUGUCCUUGUUCACAAAGAAGAUGCUGAAGUUAUGCAAGGACGGGGUGUGGAAUGCAGAAGUUGCUAUUCUUGCUAACCACAGGAAUGUAGAUAAAGGCUAAAUUAGGCGGGGUUGACAUGUAUCUGAAUAGCCAGCCCAGAGCUCAGCUUUUGCAAUAUGUAUGAGGCUCAUUAUGUGCUGUAUUUAGGUUGCCGAAUCAAUCAAUAAAUUAGACCUGUUGAUGACCA
Long non-coding RNA from Melospiza melodia melodia, 16140 nucleotides. RefSeq lists it as uncharacterized. The transcript has 7 exons. The record is from RefSeq and is a predicted model, not a curated record. Lineage: Eukaryota; Metazoa; Chordata; Aves; Passeriformes; Passerellidae.